GACGAACGCUGGCGGCGUGCCUAAUACAUGCAAGUUGAGCGCUGAAGGUUGGUCCUUGUACCAACUGGAUGAGCAGCGAACGGGUGAGUAACGCGUGGGGAAUCUGCCUUUGAGCGGGGGACAACAUUUGGAAACGAAUGCUAAUACCGCAUAAAAACUUUAAACACAAGUUUUAAGUUUGAAAGAUGCAAUUGCAUCACUCAAAGAUGAUCCCGCGUUGUAUUAGCUAGUUGGUGAGGUAAAGGCUCACCAAGGCGAUGAUACAUAGCCGACCUGAGAGGGUGAUCGGCCACAUUGGGACUGAGACACGGCCCAAACUCCUACGGGAGGCAGCAGUAGGGAAUCUUCGGCGAUGGACGAAAGUCUGACCGAGCAACGCCGCGUGAGUGAAGAAGGUUUUCGGAUCGUAAAACUCUGUUGGUAGAGAAGAACGUUGGUGAGAGUGGAAAGCUCAUCAAGUGACGGUAACUACACAGAAAGGGACGGCUAACUACGUG
RNAcentral lists this ribosomal RNA (497 nucleotides) under uncultured bacterium. Its description in RNAcentral is "partial 16S ribosomal RNA". It matches the Rfam family "Bacterial small subunit ribosomal RNA", at positions 28 to 507 of the family's 1533-position model. The record is from RNAcentral.